UACGUAGGGUGCGAGCGUUGUCCGGAAUUAUUGGGCGUAAAGAGCUCGUAGGCGGUCUGUCGCGUCGAUCGUGAAAACUUGGGGCUUAACCCUGAGCUUGCGGUCGAUACGGGCAUGACUGGAGUUCGGCAGGGGAGACUGGAAUUCCUGGUGUAGCGGUGAAAUGCGCAGAUAUCAGGAGGAACACCGGUGGCGAAGGCGGGUCUCUGGGCCGUAACUGAUGCUGAGGAGCGAAAGCGUGGGGAGCGAACAGG
Molecule: ribosomal RNA, 254 nt
Filed under: uncultured bacterium
Lineage: Bacteria
Description: partial 16S ribosomal RNA
Rfam family: Bacterial small subunit ribosomal RNA
Source: RNAcentral